Molecule: non-coding RNA, 219 nt
Organism: Pelobates cultripes (western spadefoot toad)
Lineage: Eukaryota; Metazoa; Chordata; Amphibia; Anura; Pelobatidae
Source: the annotation of a GenBank genome assembly
UUAUAAUACACAGGUUUGUACUUUGUUCUCUCAUUUGAUUUCCCCCUGUUUUAUCAUAACAGCAAACAUCAUAAUUACCUCCGAAAUCAAAGGGGAGAACGCUGAGCCAGAGAUCAAAGAAUCGCCCCAUUAGUAGCGGGAAUGCCAUUCAUGUUGAAGACAAGAUCAGCUUGUCUCCUUUAAAGAUUCAAACAAACUAAAAAGGAGAGUCAACAUCAG